GCUGUCGUCAGCUCGUGUCGUGAGAUGUUGGGUUAAGUCCCGCAACGAGCGCAACCCCCUUUCUUAGUUGCUAACAGGUUAUGCUGAGAACUCUAAGGAUACUGCCUCCGUAAGGAGGAGGAAGGUGGGGACGACGUCAAGUCAUCAUGGCCCUUACGCCUAGGGCUACACACGUGCUACAAUGGGGUGCACAAAGAGAAGCAAUACUGCGAAGUGGAGCCAAUCUUCAAAACAUCUCUCAGUUCGGAUUGUACGCU
This 257-nucleotide ribosomal RNA is filed under the name Helicobacter pylori. RNAcentral's name for it is "partial 16S ribosomal RNA". It matches the Rfam family "Bacterial small subunit ribosomal RNA", at positions 1048 to 1306 of the family's 1533-position model. The record is from RNAcentral. Lineage: Bacteria; Pseudomonadati; Campylobacterota; Epsilonproteobacteria; Campylobacterales; Helicobacteraceae.